Molecule: unclassified non-coding RNA, 226 nt
Filed under: Hevea brasiliensis (rubber tree)
Lineage: Eukaryota; Viridiplantae; Streptophyta; Magnoliopsida; Malpighiales; Euphorbiaceae
Source: RNAcentral
ACUGAAUUUGGCAAAGGAAUCCUGUGAACCGAUUGUCUCUUUUCUUAUUUUUCUUCUUUUGCUUGUGUAAAGAGGUGGUUUAAAUUGGAAAUUAUAUUUUUUUAAUAGUUUAUUCUUGAUCGUACUUUUAAAGAAUUUUCAACAUUUAUCAUCAAAUUGAACAUGGAUAUUGAUGUGAACCUGGCAUGUAACAGAAUUGAAUGUCGAAAAAUGAUCCAUAUUGCCG